ACGGUUACCUUGUUACGACUUAGCCCCAGUCACCGAUUUCGCUCUAGGGCGCGCCUCCCGGCGACGCACUUCAAGCGCCCUCGGCUCCCAUGGCUUGACGGGCGGUGUGUACAAGGCCCGGGAACGUAUUCACCGCGCCAUGGCUGAUGCGCGAUUACUAGCGAAUCCAGCUUCACGGAGUCGGGUUGCAGACUCCGAUCCGAACUGAGAGGGGCUUUCGGGUUCCGCUCGGCGUCGCCGCCUGGCUUCCCGCUGUACCCCCCAUUGUAACACGUGUGUCGCCCCGGACGUAAGGGCCGUGCUGAUUUGACG
This 312-nucleotide ribosomal RNA is filed under the name uncultured bacterium. RNAcentral's name for it is "partial 16S ribosomal RNA". The record is from RNAcentral.